RNAcentral lists this ribosomal RNA (372 nucleotides) under uncultured organism. RNAcentral describes it as "bacterial SSU rRNA". It matches the Rfam family "Bacterial small subunit ribosomal RNA", at positions 526 to 896 of the family's 1533-position model. The record is from RNAcentral.
CGUAGGUGGCAAGCGUUGUCCGGAAUUACUGGGUGUAAAGGGCGUGUAGGUGGGAGAUUAAGUCAGAUGUGAAAGCCCGCAGCUUAACUGCGGUACUGCAUCUGAAACUAGUCUUCUUGAGUGCUGGAGAGGAAAGCGGAAUUCCUAGUGUAGCGGUGAAAUGCGUAGAUAUUAGGAGGAACACCAGUGGCGAAGGCGGCUUUCUGGACAGUAACUGACACUGAGGCGCGAAAGCGUGGGGAGCAAACAGGAUUAGAUACCCUGGUAGUCCACGCCGUAAACGAUGGAUACUAGGUGUAGGAGGUAUCGACCCCUUCUGUGCCGGAGUUAACACAAUAAGUAUCCCACCUGGGGAGUACGGCCGCAAGGUUG